RNAcentral lists this unclassified non-coding RNA (333 nucleotides) under soil metagenome. RNAcentral describes it as "partial contains 5.8S ribosomal RNA, internal transcribed spacer 2, and large subunit ribosomal RNA". The stretch from base 1 to 120 matches the Rfam family "5.8S ribosomal RNA", at positions 35 to 154 of the family's 154-position model. The record is from RNAcentral.
GAUGAAGAACGUAGCAAAAUGCGAUAAGUAAUGUGAAUUGCAGAAUUCAGUGAAUCAUCGAAUCUUUGAACGCACAUUGCGCCCGCCAGUAUUCUGGCGGGCAUGCCUGUUCGAGCGUCAUUUCAACCCUCAAGCUCAGCUUGGUGUUGGGACUCGCGGUAACCCGCGUUCCCCAAAUCGAUUGGCGGUCACGUCGAGCUUCCAUAGCGUAGUAAUCAUACACCUCGUUACUGGUAAUCGUCGCGGCCACGCCGUAAAACCCCAACCUCUGAAUGUUGACCUCGGAUCAGGUAGGAAUACCCGCUGAACUUAAGCAUAUCAAUAAGCGGAGGA